RNAcentral lists this ribosomal RNA (253 nucleotides) under uncultured bacterium. Its description in RNAcentral is "partial 16S ribosomal RNA". It matches the Rfam family "Bacterial small subunit ribosomal RNA", at positions 524 to 776 of the family's 1533-position model. The record is from RNAcentral.
UACGUAGGUGGCUAGCGUUGUCCGGAUUUACUGGGCGUAAAGAGCGCGCAGGCGGUCGUUCAAGUCGAGUGUGAAAGCCCCCGGCUCAACUGGGGAGGGUCACUCGAUACUGAUCGACUCGAAGGCAGGAGAGGGAAGCGGAAUUCCCGGUGUAGUGGUGAAAUGCGUAGAUAUCGGGAGGAACACCUGUGGCGAAAGCGGCGCACUGGACCACAACUGACGCUGAGGCGCGAAAGCUAGGGGAGCAAACAGG